Molecule: ribosomal RNA, 1278 nt
Filed under: Triticum aestivum (bread wheat)
Lineage: Eukaryota; Viridiplantae; Streptophyta; Magnoliopsida; Poales; Poaceae
Description: partial small subunit ribosomal RNA
Source: RNAcentral
AUGGAUCGGAGCCUCCAAUGGAGCAGGCCGGCGUCGCUGCUCCUCUUGGGGGCGGCGUUCCUGGCGGCGACGGCCGUAGCGAGCGCCAACCCGGCGUACAACCCCGACCCCUACAGCGUCGUGGACCACUUCAACCGCGCCGUUCACAGGUCGACUAGCCCGCGUCGUGCGCUGUAUUCGGAGAAGAAGUCGAAGAAGCCAAAGUACACGGGCCCGUGCAUGGCGACGAACCCGAUCGACCGGUGCUGGCGGUGCCGCAAGGACUGGGCGACGGACCGGCAGCGGAUGGCCCGCUGCGCCAAGGGGUUCGGCCGCGAGACCACCGGCGGGCUCAAGGGCAAGAUCUACAUAGUGACCGACGCCAACGACGAUGACUUCACCAACCCGCGGCCCGGGACGCUCCGGUGGGGCGCGGUCCAGACGGAGCCGCUGUGGAUCAUCUUCGCGAGGGACAUGGUGAUCAACGCGUCUCAGGAGAUCAUCAUCCAGAGCGACAAGACCAUCGACGGGCGCGGGGCGCAGGUGCACGUGGCCAACGGCGGUGGGCUCACCAUCCAGCACCAGAACAACGUCAUCAUCAACAACCUCCACGUGCACGGCAUCGUACACACGUCGGGCGGCAACGUGUCGAUGACGGCAACCCACUCCACGAUCCGUACCCGCGCCGACGGCGACGGCGUCUCCAUCUUCAACGCCACCAAAGUGUGGGUGGACCACCUGUCCAUGGAUAAUUGCGAGGACGGCAUGAUCGACGUGGUGGCCAUGUCCACGGCCGUCACCGUCUCCAACACCCACCUGGCCCACCACAACGACGUGAUGCUCUUCGGCGCCACCGAUGGGAAGGAGGAGGACAAGGUGAUGCAGGUCACCGUCGCCUUCAACCACUUCGGGAGAGGCCUGGUGCAGAGGAUGCCUCGCUGCCGCUACGGCUUCUUCCACGUCGUCAACAACGACUACACCAACUGGCUCAUGUACGCCAUCGGAGGCAGCAGCGCGCCCACCAUCGUCAGCCAGGGGAACCGCUACAGAGCACCACCCAACAUGGCUGCCAAGGAGGCGACCAAGCGCGAGUACGCGGCCGAGUCGGAGUGGAAGAACUGGGUGUGGACAUCGGAAGGCGACCUGAUGAUAAACGACGCCUUCUUCAUCACGUCCGGCGGAAAAAUAAGCCAGAAGCUCAACGGUAAGGACCUCCUCAAGCCCAAGCCAGGGGAGUACGUCAGGAGGCUCACCCGCUUCGCCGGCCCGUUGGACUGCAACGCGGGCAGUCCCUGCUGA